GACUCCUACGGGAGGCAGCAGUGGGGAAUAUUGGACAAUGGGCGAAAGCCUGAUCCAGCAAUGCCGCGUGAGUGAUGAAGGCCUUAGGGUUGUAAAGCUCUUUUACCAGGGAUGAUAAUGACAGUACCUGGAGAAUAAGCUCCGGCUAACUCCGUG
Molecule: ribosomal RNA, 156 nt
Filed under: uncultured freshwater bacterium
Lineage: Bacteria
Description: partial 16S ribosomal RNA
Rfam family: Bacterial small subunit ribosomal RNA
Source: RNAcentral